This 318-nucleotide ribosomal RNA is filed under the name uncultured eukaryote. RNAcentral's name for it is "partial 18S ribosomal RNA". It matches the Rfam family "Eukaryotic small subunit ribosomal RNA", at positions 1470 to 1796 of the family's 1831-position model. The record is from RNAcentral.
CCCUUAGAUGUCCUGGGCCGCACGCGCGUUACACUGAUGCAUUCAACGAGCUUAUAACCUUGGCCGAGAGGCCUGGGCAAUCUUGUUAACGUGCAUCGUGAUAGGGAUAGAUUAUUGAAAUUAUUAAUCUUGAACGAGGAAUUCCUAGUAAACGCAGAUCAUCAAUCUGCAUUGAUUACGUCCCUGCCCUUUGUACACACCGCCCGUCGCACCUACCGAUUGAAUGGUCCGGUGAAAUCCUCGGAUCGAGCUGCGGGGCAACCCCGGUUCGAGAAGUUGAUUAAACCGUACCAUUUAGAGGAAGGUGAAGUCGUAACA